Molecule: long non-coding RNA, 408 nt
Filed under: Hordeum vulgare
Lineage: Eukaryota; Viridiplantae; Streptophyta; Magnoliopsida; Poales; Poaceae
Description: long non-coding RNA (HVUL_LNC016947)
Source: RNAcentral
GAAUCUUCCAUGCAGAAUCCGGUGGAGGUCAAACAAAGGCAGCCAAGCCGGGCAGGCCGGGACGCGACGCUAGCCACCACCCAACUCUAUCUAUCUAACGAUGGAUCCAUCCAUAUCCAUAGGAUGGUGCCGUGUUCCACAUUCUCCGGGUUUCAUCGAUCAGCAGUGGGUGCGUACGUCCGUCGUCGGUUGCGUCCAAGAGUCUGAGACGUUUCUCGAUGAGCCGGUGGCCCGUCCGUCCGGGAGAUGGCGUCGCCCCGCCGUGUCUAGUCCACGUCGCCGGAGGAGAAUGGGUCGGCCGGAUGGCGUAGGUAGGCGUCCCGUCGCGGUCGGUCAGCAUGGAUGGAUCAGGGAUGUAAACUCACGGGGUUCAGAUCAGAUCAGAUCAACCGUGCAUGCAUGGUGGGU